ACUAUUGUCACGGGUUACCGCGGCUGCUGGCACGGAGUUAGCCGGUGCUUCUUCUGUGAGUGAUGUCCUUCCUGCCGGCUAUUAACCCGCAGGCCUUCUUCCUCACUGAAAGUGCUUUACAACCCGAAGGCCUUCUUCACACACGCGGCAUGGCUGGAUCAGGGUUGCCCCCAUUGUCCAAUAUUCCCCACUGCUGCCUCCCGUAGGAGUCUGGGCCGUGUCUCAGUCCCAGUNUGGCUGAUCAUCCUCUCAGACCAGCUACGGAUCGUCGGCCUUGGUGAGCCGUUACCUCACCAACCAGCUAAUCCGACAUAGGCUCAUCCGAUAGCGCGAGGCCCGAAGGUCCCCCCGCUUUCCCCCCGUAGGGCCGUAUGCGGUAUUAGCCUGGGGUUU
RNAcentral lists this ribosomal RNA (393 nucleotides) under uncultured bacterium. RNAcentral's name for it is "partial 16S ribosomal RNA". The record is from RNAcentral.